CCUACGGGAGGCAGCAGUGGGGGAUAUUGGACAAUGGGGGAAACCCUGAUCCAGCGACGCCGCGUGAGUGAAGAAGUAUUUCGGUAUGUAAAGCUCUGUCAGCAGGGAAGAAAGAAAUGACGGUACCUGACCAAGAAGCCCCGGCUAACUACGUGCCAGCAGCCGCGGUAAUACGUAGGGGGCAAGCGUUAUCCGGAAUUACUGGGUGUAAAGGGAGCGCAGGCGGCACGCUAAGCCUGAUGUGAAAGCCCGCGGCCCAACCGCGGGAGUGCAUUGGGAACUGGCGAGCUGGAGUACCGGAGGGGCAGGCGGAAUUCCUAGUGUAGCGGUGAAAUGCGUAGAUAUUAGGAGGAACACCAGUGGCGAAGGCGGCCUGCUGGACGGAGACUGACGCUGAGGCUCGAAAGCGUGGGGAGCAAACAGGAUUAGAUACCCCAGUAGUC
RNAcentral lists this ribosomal RNA (443 nucleotides) under uncultured bacterium. RNAcentral describes it as "partial 16S ribosomal RNA". It matches the Rfam family "Bacterial small subunit ribosomal RNA", at positions 338 to 795 of the family's 1533-position model. The record is from RNAcentral.